Molecule: ribosomal RNA, 253 nt
Filed under: uncultured bacterium
Lineage: Bacteria
Description: partial 16S ribosomal RNA
Rfam family: Bacterial small subunit ribosomal RNA
Source: RNAcentral
UACGUAGGGACCGAGCGUUGUCCGGAAUCAUUGGGCGUAAAGAGCGUGUAGGCGGCUUGCUAAGUCUUGCGUGAAAUCUCGGGGCUCAACCCCGAGCGGUCGUGGGAAACUGGCAGGCUAGAGUGCGGGAGAGGAGAAUGGAAUUCCUGGUGUAGCGGUGAAAUGCGCAGAUAUCAGGAGGAACACCGGUGGCGAAGGCGGUUCUCUGGGCCUUACCUGACGCUGAGGCGCGAAAGCUAGGGGAGCGAACGGG